UGAGUAACACGUGGGUAGACCUGCCCUAAAGUCUGGGAUACCACUUGGAAACAGGUGCUAAUACCGGAUAACAACAAUAGCUGCAUGGCUAUUGCUUAAAAGGCGGCGAAAGCUGUCGCUAAAGGAUGGACCCGCGGUGCAUUAGCUAGUUGGUAAGGUAAUGGCUUACCAAGGCGACGAUGCAUAGCCGAGUUGAGAGACUGAUCGGCCACAUUGGGACUGAGACACGGCCCAAACUCCUACGGGAGGCAGCAGUAGGGAAUCUUCCACAAUGGGCGAAAGCCUGAUGGAGCAACGCCGCGUGAGUGAAGAAGGUUUUCGGAUCGUAAAGCUCUGUUGUUGGUGAAGAAGGAUAGAGGUAGUAACUGGCCCCUAUUUGACGGUAAUCAACCAGAAAGUCACGGCUAACUACGUGCCAGCAGCCGCGGUAAUACGUAGGUGGCAAGCGUUGUCCGGAUUUAUUGGGCGUAAAGCGAGCGCAGGCGGAAAGAUAAGUCUGAUGUGAAAGCCCCCGGCUUAACCGAGGAAUUGCAUCGGAAACUGUGUUUCUUGAGUGCAGAAGAGGAGAGUGGAACUCCAUGUGUAGCGGUGGAAUGCGUAGAUAUAUGGAAGAACACCAGUGGCGAAGGCGGCUCUCUGGUCUGUAACUGACGCUGAAGCUCGAAAGCAUGGGUAGCGAACAGGAUUAGAUACCCUGGUAGUCCAUGC
This 708-nucleotide ribosomal RNA is filed under the name uncultured bacterium. RNAcentral's name for it is "bacterial SSU rRNA". It matches the Rfam family "Bacterial small subunit ribosomal RNA", at positions 107 to 800 of the family's 1533-position model. The record is from RNAcentral.